Molecule: ribosomal RNA, 293 nt
Filed under: Leptostylis cf. borealis ICE1-Dia017
Lineage: Eukaryota; Metazoa; Arthropoda; Malacostraca; Cumacea; Diastylidae
Description: partial 16S ribosomal RNA
Source: RNAcentral
AAUAAAUUGUCCUUUAAUUUAGGACUUGAAUGAAUGAUUUGACUAUAAAUUCUCUGUCUUAUUUCGACUUAAGAAAUUAAUUUUUAGUAAAAAUUCUAAAAUAAAAUUAAAAGACGAAAAGACCCUAUAAAAUUUUACUUAAUUAGUAGGAUUAGAUUAGUUUUUCUAGAGGACUUUGUAUAAGUUUAAUUGGGGAGAUUUUCAUAAAAAAAAUAAAACUGUAAAAUUUAAGACCAUCUACAAAUGUAAUAAACGACCUUUUAAGACUAAAAUCACUGGAUCAAAUUACUUUA